Molecule: ribosomal RNA, 495 nt
Filed under: uncultured bacterium
Lineage: Bacteria
Description: partial 16S ribosomal RNA
Rfam family: Bacterial small subunit ribosomal RNA
Source: RNAcentral
GACGAACGCUGGCGGCGUGCCUAAUACAUGCAAGUAGAACGCUGAAGGAGGAGCUUGCUUCUCUGGAUGAGUUGCGAACGGGUGAGUAACGCGUAGGUAACCUGCCUGGUAGCGGGGGAUAACUAUUGGAAACGAUAGCUAAUACCGCAUAAUAGUAAAUGUUGCAUGACAUUUGCUUACAAGGUGCAAUUGCAUCACUAACAGAAGGACCUGCGUUGUAUUAGCUCGUUGGUGGGGUAACGGCUCGCCAAGGCGACGAUACAUAGGCGACCCGAGGGGGUGAUCGGCCACUCGGGCACUGAGACACGGCCCCGACUCCUACCGGAGGCAGCUGUAGGGAUUCUUCGGCAAUGGGCGGAAGGCUGACCUCGCAACGCCGCGUGAGUGUAGAAGGUUUUCGGAUCGUAAAGCUCUGUUGUCAGAGAAGAGCGAGUGUCAGAGUGGAAAGUUCACACUGUGACGGUAUCUUACCAGAAAGCGACGGCUAACUACGUG